CUAGUAGCUCAGUGGUCAGAGCACUCGACGUGCAAUCGAGAGAGCCUAGGUUCAAUUCCCGGCUGG
Molecule: transfer RNA, 66 nt
Filed under: Folsomia candida
Lineage: Eukaryota; Metazoa; Arthropoda; Collembola; Entomobryomorpha; Isotomidae
Rfam family: tRNA
About the family: Transfer RNA (tRNA) molecules are approximately 80 nucleotides in length. Their secondary structure includes four short double-helical elements and three loops (D, anti-codon, and T loops).
Source: Rfam by way of RNAcentral